GUCUGCAUGAAGCACUGGCAUCAUCUAGCGGUUGUUUUUACAAUUCAGACGAUUGUCCAGUGUGCCGCUAGAUGGUGUUGGUAUUGUUUUGAAAAUGGCGAAAUGUGUGAAGAGAUUUGUCAUCUUCUGAUUUCGAAUUUUCAUGUUUUACUGCCCAAAAUCAACCAAUUAUUUACAUAAAAUGUACCUGCCGUCUAGUCAUCAGAUUGAAUUUGGACCCCAUUUUAAGAGAAAAUUGCUCAACACUUCUGUAAACACACACGCUCAGCUUCAUCUGCAUCAUCCUCUCACAUCUUAGACAAAACUGCAAGCUGUUAUGCCCAAAAGUUGUGGCAUUGCAUAUAUGGUUACAGGUUCCUUCUUGCCUGAAAGAUGUUUACACCUUUGAACACUUUUGGUGGGGUUGUUGCGUCAUGAAAUUGUAUUGCUGCCAUUCCCUGCAUCUCCCACUUCAUAGCUACAAGAAACGAGUAAUAGGAAGCCUACAACAGAUUGAGGUUGUGCGGUAUCCCAUUGGAUCCAUUGAAUUUCGCGAGUCAGCCGCCGAUGCCAAUCUACAACGCAGUUUCUUUAUUGGAAUUGUGUGUUCCUGGCACAGAGGUCCUUGAUGCUGGCCUUUGUCCAUUACAGAAGAUUGACUUCUACCAACUCUCUGCUCCAUCCUUAUCUUCGCUACCCACACUCAUCUAGCUUCUUUGCUUAUUAUGCUGCUUAACAAUUUAUCGUACUUCACUACCGAGUUAGACCAGUCGCUUCAGUCCGCCUGUCACUCUCCACCGAAUUAUGCCCAGGUAAUGCAGAUGAGACGUCGAGAAGAUGGAAUUCCGAGACUCGUCAUCAACG
Molecule: long non-coding RNA, 843 nt
Filed under: Daphnia pulex (common water flea)
Lineage: Eukaryota; Metazoa; Arthropoda; Branchiopoda; Diplostraca; Daphniidae
Description: uncharacterized LOC124207832
Source: RNAcentral